AAUGUAUUUAUAUAUUUUAUUGUAGAUCAUGAAUAACAUAACCAAUCUUGCGUUUUUUCUUGACUGUAGAAUGACCAUCUCUGAAAUUUCAGGCAAUGGUCUGAGAUAUAGAUUUCCAGCCUCCUUGUGUGAACACUCAAGCAGACCAUUACACUCAACACAUCAGCUACU
RNAcentral lists this small RNA (171 nucleotides) under Arabidopsis thaliana (thale cress). Its description in RNAcentral is "ATSL140170". The record is from RNAcentral. Lineage: Eukaryota; Viridiplantae; Streptophyta; Magnoliopsida; Brassicales; Brassicaceae.